CUCCAGAAGAAUGGACUGCUUGAUGGAAACAAAAGGAAAACUGGCAACGUUGGUACACUGUUUCACUGUCAUAAUGUUUUUGAAAGGUUUUAAGUCCAUUUGCACAAUGGGUUUAUCGCUGAAAUAAUUUUCCAUUACUACAUUAAUGUACAGAAUCAGUGCGAAAGGGUUUAUCAAGUUUUCAUCGAGAUUACACCUGACAGUUUCAAUCAUCCGUUAAAAAGGGUUAUAAACCAAUUAGAAUCACAUUUGUGCUGACAGCUUCCUCCAACAAUUCUGUGUGCCACAUCCCAAUCGAUACUGUUGAAAAUCCCUUAAUCAAUGCCAUGGGCUUAUCCCAUUUAGCAAUCACAAUUUAUAUGUGUGCAGACAAAAUCGGUCGCAUUCAUAGAUGUGUCGUCAUUAAUUACUUAAACGGAAGUUACAUUCCAUCCGUUCGCUUCAGUCGUUCCAUCCAUUCAUUCGGGCCUUUUAAUUUUCUAUGAUUUAUGCGUAAUUUGCUCUCGAACCGAACCUGCUUGUCCGUUUAAGUGACUUCCCCUGUUGCCUGUCCGCAGAAACUGAGGAGACAUGUGCACCUGUGUCGGCCACAUCCUGUGCACAAAACAC
RNAcentral lists this long non-coding RNA (609 nucleotides) under Drosophila guanche. The record is from RNAcentral. Lineage: Eukaryota; Metazoa; Arthropoda; Insecta; Diptera; Drosophilidae.